AUUUAACUGAAAAAUACCUCUUGUUUGAUCCUAUUGUGAAGGGGGUUAUUUUAAAAUUUCCACUUUCAGCUUCUUGCUUAUAUAUAGUAUAAAACUGAUUUUUGUGUACUGAUAUUUGUAUCCAAACUCCCUGCUAGGCUUUCCUGUUUUUUUUAAUGUUUAUUUAUUUUUGAGAGAGAGAGGAAGGCAUAGAGAGAGGGGGAGACACAAAAUCUGAAGCAGGUUCCAGGCUCUGAGCUGUCAGCACAGAGCCUGAUGUGAGGCUUGAACUCAAGAAACGUGAGAUCACGAUUUGAGCUGAAGUUGGACUCAGCUGACUGAGCCACCCAGGUGCCCCUAGUCUUUCCUAUUAAUUCUAAACAUCUAGCGUGUUUUUUUUAUUUCCUACAUAUUCACUACAUAGUAAGCAAACAAUGACAGUUUUUGUUUUUCAUUUCUGCAGUCUAUGGCAUUUAAAAUGUCCCCAGUGACCCCUGCCUGUUGGUAUUUGUGUAAUCUUUCCUUGAAUGUUAAGUUGGGUGUAGUGACACAUUUGUAACAAAUAGAAUAUGACAAAAGUGAUAGGAUAUCUCUUGAGAUUAGAGUACAUAAAGACCCAGUUUCCGUCUUGCUUGCCCUCCCUCUCUCUUUCCCAGGCCUGCUCUGAGGGGAAAGCCAGAUGACCUGCGGGAGCUGCUCUUUGGAGAGGCCCCUCAGGCCAGGAACUCCUGUCUCUGCCUUCUAGUGAGUGAGGACGUGCGGCCUGCCAACAGCUGUGUGAGCAAUCUUGGAAGUGGCUGUUCUGAAGCCUGCCAGCAGUCACUGUCGGUAUAACCUCAGUGUUUCAACUUUCCAUUUGAGGAAAUGAAAUGGGAACAACAAUGAGAUAAUAAGAGAAUGGAAUUCACUGAUCUAUUAAAAGCUGUUGGAGGUGUCUGGUUUAGGAAGACUCUUCACAAGUCCUGACCAUCCAGGACUUGGGACAGAUGGACCCAGUGGGAACAGUCUUGUGUUGGUAAUGAUUGUACCAUAAAGGAAAAGCUAGGGAUUUUAUUUAAAAGUUAUGUAUAUUUUAUAUAAUUUGUAAUCCAUUAGUUGUGGAAAGAAGAAACUUAAAAACUGAUAAUCUUUAUUGUAACAUAAGUAACUAUGGGUACUGUUUUGACUCCUGUAUCACCAUAUUUUUCUCCAAAACCUCACAGGGAUCUAUUGCUUGCUAAACACUCUCCAAAAGUGGGCUAUCUACAUGGUGAGAAUAAACAGUUAUCUCAAUACAGCAGCAGAUAAUUUGGGUUAAAUGUCAGAUUACUAGAUUUUAAAGUGAAAAAAAUUGUCUACAAAAUUGAGUUUGAGAAAAAAGAAAAACAAGAGGUAGGAUAAUUUUGUGCAAGUCGCCUGUCUUUUCUACAACGUGGGAGUAACUGCCGGUUCUCUUUCCUUAGAAUAAAUCUUGGUUACCUCUUAUUCCUCAGACUCAUUUUUCAUCUCUUUACCAAGCACCUUAUAAUAAGUGCAGAAGUAGAAUCUGAGAUAAAACGUGUUUGCAAACGAUGCUUUUGGAGUUGACAACACCAACCUACUGCAAGGAGUCCAACAAGCGUAGCCCAGAAAACACCUUAGAGGUCACUGAGAAGAUUAAGUGACUUUACCAGAGAUAUACAGGCGAGUGGAGAGAACACUGUGAGCAGUGGCAGUGGUACCAGGGCAUAGCUUGGGGAGACUUUCAUCUCCCGCACCUGAAAGAAACAGAACUAAGGAAAUGGUAUAUUUGCUGUGCAAAUGUCAACCUUAAGGCAAGACUCUUAGUCCCUUCUUUCCAUCUGAAUUGUUACUGAAAGGUCCUUCCCACUAGAAUUUGUAGCACCAAUCUUGGUUAGUGAGUCACGCUAACUUGAGUGAAUCACAGCCUCUCUGGGCUUUGGUUUCCUCAGUAAACUGAAGGGAUUGGAUUUCAGAGGUCACAAACUCCAAUGUCUUCUGGGGACAGGAAGAUAGUAGAGGUUGUGAGUAGUGGAAGGGCCAGUAGAAGGUGGAACAUUCAAGUCCUACGCCAAAGUAUUUGAAACAAAAACAAAAUGCCAAAUGCCAGUGUUGGCCAAAAAAAUAAUAUGGGCAGAGAUGACAAAAUUUGCAUUAGGUGAGUUGUGAGGUCUCUUCUGGUUCUGGUGUUUCGUGAUUUUUUUUUAAACCUUUUCCCACACUUGGCCCCUUAUUGCUUUAUGCUUAUUUUCCUAUUUCUGUCUCUUGAGCUCUUCUGCUUUUGUUUUGAGUAAAACACAUGUCAGCACACUCAGUUCUAUAUGAAAAUAGAAGAAAGCCUGUCAGGGUAAGUUUAAAGUGAAUGCUAAUGCAUCAUGAAUCGCCUUUUUCCAAAAGAAAUUUUAUCUUCAUCCUUAGGCUUGUUAGAAUGUGCUUAACCUGGGGCAUCUGGGUAGCUCAGUCAGUUAAGCAUCUGACUUCACCUUAGGACGUGUUCUCGUGGUUUGUGAGUUCGAGCCCUGUGUCAGGCUCUGUGCUGACAGCUUGGAGCCUGGAGCCAACUUUGGAUUCUGCGUCUCCCUCUCUCUCUGCCCCUCC
Long non-coding RNA from Neofelis nebulosa (Clouded leopard), 2556 nucleotides. RefSeq lists it as uncharacterized. The transcript is spliced from 3 exons. Lineage: Eukaryota; Metazoa; Chordata; Mammalia; Carnivora; Felidae. The record is from RefSeq and is a predicted model, not a curated record.